GCUAAAUUAGUUUAAAUAAAAUACCAGCUUGUGGAUCUGGAGAUAAAAUAAUUUUUAUUUAGCC
RNAcentral lists this transfer RNA (64 nucleotides) under Struthiolaria papulosa. RNAcentral's name for it is "tRNA-His". It matches the Rfam family "tRNA". From Rfam's summary of the family: Transfer RNA (tRNA) molecules are approximately 80 nucleotides in length. Their secondary structure includes four short double-helical elements and three loops (D, anti-codon, and T loops). Lineage: Eukaryota; Metazoa; Mollusca; Gastropoda; Littorinimorpha; Struthiolaridae. The record is from RNAcentral.